GCUUUUGCACUGUGGCAGUAUUGCAGCCAAUGAGGUUUACCCAAGGCACAAUUAUUGCUAAUUGAAAACUUUUCCUAAAAUUUUUCAGUCCACUUUCUUUUCUUCAGAGAUUUGUUGACACCAAAUAUUACAUUAG
Molecule: small nuclear RNA, 136 nt
Organism: Camelus dromedarius (Arabian camel)
Lineage: Eukaryota; Metazoa; Chordata; Mammalia; Artiodactyla; Camelidae
Gene: U4
Rfam family: U4 spliceosomal RNA
About the family: U4 small nuclear RNA (U4 snRNA) is a component of the major U2-dependent spliceosome. The structure of U4 snRNA from yeast and human has been reported. U4 snRNA presents a k-turn RNA motif in the 5p-SL related to recognition of Snu13 protein.
Source: Ensembl